UGUAAAUCCAAAAAGAACCAGUUCCCGCAGCCUCAGUUCAGUGUCUUUUUCUCAUGUGAGGGAGCUCAUGUGGAGUGUUUGGGUGGCCAGUUUAUUCCCGCACCUCUCACUGAACCUGUCACCUCUAGGCCUCAUCUCUGUCUUUAGUUCCAUGAAUCUCUCCUGCAGCCCAGAGACUCUCUCAUGACCUGCAGUGGAGGUGUCAGAACCCCGGGGGUCUGGAUCCAUACUGAGUCAGCUUCUUCCCCCUCAGACAGACUGAUAGAUCUAACACCCCUCCGCACACGCCCACUGCCACCUUAAUCUCUCACCAAUACACUUCAACUGAGCCCAGGCUGGUGCUAAGAGCGACAAGACGCGUUUGUCAAGGUGUGAAUGCUGUAAUGAGUAGAAGCUUCUCUUCAGUAAAGAAAAUCCCUGUGGAGAAAGAUAAAGGACCUACACAUACUGCUUCUCAUGUUAUACAAGCAGCUAAGAUCAUUUGGACUAUUAGUUUUUUCUGAUGUUUUGCCUUUGUAAUUGAUUUGUAGCUUUUGUCUAGCAAUCACACAACACAGCAUUUGUGUUUUCUAGUUACAAGCAUUAGCA
Molecule: long non-coding RNA, 588 nt
Organism: Triplophysa dalaica
Lineage: Eukaryota; Metazoa; Chordata; Actinopteri; Cypriniformes; Nemacheilidae
Exons: 3
Source: RefSeq, a predicted model, not a curated record